GUGUAUGUCCACUCCACUGUCCAACUUGUGGAAUCUGGGCCAGGAAUAGUGAGCCCUGGAGGAUCCUUCAAAUUAAUGUGCAAAGUGACAGGGGACUCCAUCAAGAACGUGUACUGGGAGUGGAUCCGCCAGGCUCCAGGAAAAGGACUGGAAUGGGUGGGCCAGAUAGACUGGGCUAAUAAUAACUGGAGGACAUCCUAUGCCUCAUCCCUCCAAAGCCGAACAACCCUGACAGCCGAUUCCUCCCGCAAUGAGUAUUAUUUGGCAAUGAGUUCCCUGACAGCUGCAGACUCAGCCACAUAUUACUGUGCAUGA
Molecule: non-coding RNA, 315 nt
Organism: Thamnophis sirtalis
Lineage: Eukaryota; Metazoa; Chordata; Lepidosauria; Squamata; Natricidae
Source: the annotation of a RefSeq genome assembly